UCUUUUCCGAUUUUUGAGGCACCUUUAAAUACAACAGAGGGCGGAGAGCUCAAAACCAGUCGACGUUGUUUCUUUUUCUCAUUCGGUUGCGUCAAAAAACGUUUGACGGGACGGGAGCAAGAGGAGCUCGCGGGAGCAACU
This is a non-coding RNA of Caenorhabditis elegans, 141 nucleotides long. NCBI's taxonomy places the organism in Eukaryota, Metazoa, Nematoda, Chromadorea, Rhabditida, Rhabditidae. The record is from Ensembl.